RNAcentral lists this ribosomal RNA (252 nucleotides) under uncultured bacterium. Its description in RNAcentral is "partial 16S ribosomal RNA". It matches the Rfam family "Bacterial small subunit ribosomal RNA", at positions 524 to 776 of the family's 1533-position model. The record is from RNAcentral.
UACAGAGGGGCAAGCGUUGUUCGGAAUUACUGGGCGUAAAGGGCGCGUAGGCGGCCUUCUAAGUCGAACGUGAAAUCCCUGGGCUCAACCCAGGAACUGCGUCCGAUACUGGAAGGCUUGAAUCCGGGAGAGGGAUGCGGAAUUCCAGGUGUAGCGGUGAAAUGCGUAGAUAUCUGGAGGAACACCGGUGGCGAAGGCGGCAUCCUGGACCGACACUGACGCUGAGGAGCGAAAGCCAGGGGAGCAAACGGG